This 795-nucleotide ribosomal RNA is filed under the name uncultured bacterium. RNAcentral describes it as "bacterial SSU rRNA". It matches the Rfam family "Bacterial small subunit ribosomal RNA", at positions 48 to 845 of the family's 1533-position model. The record is from RNAcentral.
CUAAGACAUGCAAGUCGAGCGAGAAAGCCCUUCGGGGUGAGUAGAGCGGCGGACGGGUGAGUAACGCGUAGGAAUCUACCCAGUAGUGGGGGACAACUAGUGGAAACGCUAGCUAAUACCGCAUACGCCCUACGGGGGAAAGCGGGGGACCUUCGGGCCUCGUGCUAUUGGAUGAGCCUGCGUAAGAUUAGCUUGUUGGUGAGGUAAUGGCUCACCAAGGCGACGAUCUUUAGCUGGUCUGAGAGGAUGAUCAGCCACACCGGGACUGAGACACGGCCCGGACUCCUACGGGAGGCAGCAGUCGGGAAUAUUGCGCAAUGGGGGAAACCCUGACGCAGCCAUGCCGCGUGUGUGAAGAAGGCCCUAGGGUUGUAAAGCACUUUCAAUUGGGAGGAAAAGCUAAUGGUUAAUAACCAUUAGCCCUGACGUUACCUUUAGAAGAAGCACCGGCUAACUCCGUGCCAGCAGCCGCGGUAAUACGGAGGGUGCAAGCGUUAAUCGGAAUUACUGGGCGUAAAGCGCGCGUAGGCGGUUUUUUAAGUCGGAUGUGAAAGCCCCGGGCUCAACCUGGGAACUGCAUCCGAUACUGGAAGACUAGAAUGCGGGAGAGGGAGGUAGAAUUCCAUGUGUAGCAGUGAAAUGCGUAGAUAUAUGGAGGAAUACCAGUGGCGAAGGCGGCCUCCUGGCUCGACAUUGACGCUGAGGUGCGAAAGCGUGGGGAGCAACCGGAUUAAAUACCCCCGUAGCUCACGCCGUAACGAUGUUUACUAGCUGUAGGGGUCUUGAGACCUUGUA